UGUCGUGGUUGCCGCUUGCAAUAAACGACAUUGAGGUUGUCAAUGACAAUAAUUGAUAUUCUGUAUGUGGCGCUUACACCAUACUUUUCUCAUGGAAAAAUACAGUCUCUCUCAUUGUCGGGCAGUGGCGGAGAUUUCCCGCGGAUUUUCACCGGAGAGAUGGUUCAUCUUCAACCGCUCUUCAGGCGUCACUCAGGCGGCAGAAACUCAGCAGCCAACAGGUCUACAACUAUAACUAAAAUAAAGAGUCAUCAGAGGUUUUAAAGGCAAAAAAAAAGAAGUCCUCCUACACAUCUGGGAUGGCAUGGUGGAAGAGGAGCUUGACCAAGCACAGAAAGCAGCAGUUGCCAUCAAUGCUUUGGAGCAGGGAGAGCGAAAGUUGCCAUUCAACCCACUGGAAAUGAGCUGAGGACAUUUGUCAAAACUUGGGUUGGCUCUCAAGUCCAUGGACACCUUGUGUUUGGAGCCGAGCAGAGCUUGAAGCAUAGCGUCAGCGGACAUGCGCACUUUCUUCAAAGGAGGUUUCUUGAACUUGCCCUUCAGGUCG
Xyrauchen texanus (razorback sucker) is the source of this 547-nucleotide long non-coding RNA. RefSeq lists it as uncharacterized. Lineage: Eukaryota; Metazoa; Chordata; Actinopteri; Cypriniformes; Catostomidae. The record is from RefSeq and is a predicted model, not a curated record. The transcript has 5 exons.